UGUACUGGUUAGAGAAAACAAAAGUCUUGUCAUGGUCAAUCUUUUUGAUCCUGAAUUUGAGGUAUUUUCAAGACAUAAUAAUAUGAUUUAGGUACUUCUUAUGGAACCCAAAGUGACACUACUAAACAUAGCAUGAAGUAGCCCACAUUUUUGUAAAAUGGUCAAGCACUACAAAUAUUUCUAUGACAAAGACACCCUUGCCUUUGAGUUCCAAUUCAAUGUAUUUGCUGCUUUGGUCUAGCAAAUUUUUGUUGUUGAAAGGGCUAAUUUUUGGAAAUGUGAAUGAAACCCAAGUCUCCCCACCAAAAAUGGAUUCUACACAUGGAGGUGUAGCUUUCAUAUGCAUGGUCUCCCAGAACACACAAGCCUCUGACCUAACUACAAUAUUUUUCUCUCUUAAUGAACUGGUUUUCUUGGGAACUUGGAUCAACAUAUCAUUCUACACACAAUCUCAUUUAAAUUCUAUUUUUUUUUCAUCUCCAAUCUUCCUUUUAAAUCCACUUCCCAACUAUUACUACAAAUUAAAACAAGAAGAAGAAGUCUCUGCUGUCUCUCCCCAUAUCUCUUUACAGCUAUAGCUGCUUCUGUACUGUACAAGCAACUAAAAAUCCUUCAAAGAACAGAACACUGUUGGUGGGAUUUAGAUGCAAUGAUAAGCUGUUUAAGGAGUAGAAGAGAAACACACCAAACGGUUUCUGCAUCUACUACUGGUAAGGAUGAUAAAGAGAUUUUUGAAACUACAAAAAGACAAGUUCCUUCAUGGUCAGACCCAUUACACAACUAGCUAGAUUUGUAGCGAAGAUCGUAUAUGCAGCAGAUUGUGGGUUAUUAGCGCAUGGAUAUAUAGCUAUAGCUAGGAGAAUACAUUAUUUCAUGUUUUUACAGUAUGAUAAAACGUCUGACGGCGAUGCAUAAGACCGAAUGAUGACUUAGAAUGAAAAUUAUUUAUUGAUGAUGGCUUGAACGGGACAGUGAUGAUCCGGCUGUACCUGUUAAAACUAGUGUAGAAUCUGUAGAUGAGAAGUUUUUCUUCUAUUAAUUUUAUUUUUCAGUGUUUGCUCCAUUAUCAAAUAAGUGGAAAAUUAAUUAUGA
Long non-coding RNA from Papaver somniferum (opium poppy), 1092 nucleotides. RefSeq lists it as uncharacterized. The transcript has 2 exons. The record is from RefSeq and is a predicted model, not a curated record. Lineage: Eukaryota; Viridiplantae; Streptophyta; Magnoliopsida; Ranunculales; Papaveraceae.